This 296-nucleotide ribosomal RNA is filed under the name uncultured bacterium. RNAcentral describes it as "partial 16S ribosomal RNA". It matches the Rfam family "Bacterial small subunit ribosomal RNA", at positions 334 to 622 of the family's 1533-position model. The record is from RNAcentral.
CUGCCCUACGGGACGCAGCAGUAGGGAAUCUUCCACAAUGGACGAAAGUCUGAUGGAGCAACGCCGCGUGAGUGAAGAAGGGUUUCGGCUCGUAAAGCUCUGUUGGUAGUGAAGAAAGAUAGAGGUAGUAACUGGCCUUUAUUUGACGGUAAUUACUUAGAAAGUCACGGCUAACUACGUGCCAGCAGGCGCGGUAAUACGUAGGUGGCAAGCGUUGUCCGGAUUUAUUGGGCGUAAAGCGAGUGCAGGCGGUUCCAUAAAGCUGAUGUGAAAACCUUCGGCUCAACCGGAGGAUU